CUGUGUAGGAUAGGUGGGAGGCUUUGAAGUGCGGUCGCUAGAUCGCAUGGAGCCAACCUUGAAAUACCACCCUGAUGUGCUUGACGUUCUAACCUCGGCCCGUAAUCCGGGUCAGGGACCGUGUAUGGUGGGUAGUUUGACUGGGGCGGUCUCCUCCCAAAAGAGUAACGGAGGAGCUCGAAGGUACGCUCAGCGCGGUCGGACAUCGCGCACUGUGUGCAAAGGCAUAAGCGUGCUUGACUGCGAGAUCGACGGAUCAAGCAGGUACGAAAGUAGGACUUAGUGAUCCGGUGGUUCUGUAUGGAAGGGCCAUCGCUCAACGGAUAAAAGGUACUCCGGGGAUAACAGGCUGAUACCGCCCAAGAGUUCAUAUCGACGGCGGUGUUUGGCACCUCGAUGUCGGCUCAUCACAUCCUGGGGCUGUAGUCGGUCCCAAGGGUAUGGCUGUUCGCCAUUUAAAGUGGUACGCGAGCUGGGUUCAGAACGUCGUGAGACAGUUCGGUCCCUAUCUGUCGUGGG
This 519-nucleotide ribosomal RNA is filed under the name uncultured bacterium. RNAcentral's name for it is "bacterial LSU rRNA". It matches the Rfam family "Bacterial large subunit ribosomal RNA", at positions 2134 to 2651 of the family's 2925-position model. The record is from RNAcentral.